Alligator mississippiensis (American alligator) is the source of this 714-nucleotide long non-coding RNA. RefSeq lists it as uncharacterized. NCBI's taxonomy places the organism in Eukaryota, Metazoa, Chordata, Crocodylia, Alligatoridae. The transcript has 2 exons. The record is from RefSeq and is a predicted model, not a curated record.
CAGCAAUACAGCCAGGCAAGGUGAUGGGAGCAGCCCCAGCAGCUGGAUACAGGGACUGUUAUAUGCAAGAGAAUGUGGUAAUGCAUUACUUCAACAAAAAGAACAGAUUAUGAAACGAUCAACUGUCUGCUCUUAAAUUGGGUGGAUCCAAACUACAGAUUUUCCAAGCUAUAUUGUACUCCACUCAAAAGAAAAGACAAAAACUGAAAGAGAUUACAAUCUGUCUCAGAGAAGUAAAAAUAGAAUUCCGAUGGAGCUAUCCUUUUAAGCUUCUGUUUACCCAGGAAGGACAACAGCACACCAUAAAAGAUAAGGAAGAAGGAGUUAGAGGAUUCAGCAGAUUAAAACUUCUAAAAGACCACUGUGAAAACAUAAGCAGUUCCUGACAGAGGCGGAAUCACAAAACAGAAACAUGAAAUGGCAAAUUGUGAACAAAAAAGAAAGAAGGCCUUGAAGAAUAAAGACAAGAAAUCUGAAACAGAGAAUUUUAUAUCUACUGAUUUACAAGAGGACCUGUAUGAAAAUUAAUAAUUGUAAUGGGCUUUCUAAAUAUAAAUAAAUCCUGCAGACUUUAGUUACGUUUGAAACAUUAUCUGAAGUAAUUUGGGUAGAGAAACAUAUCUGGGUUUGAAAUGUCAGAGGGAGAGAACUUAAUUAGAUAGACAAAAGUUAAAAAUAAAUUUAAAAUGCUUUAAUAAAGAAUAGUGUUCCUGA